RNAcentral lists this ribosomal RNA (209 nucleotides) under uncultured bacterium. RNAcentral's name for it is "partial 16S ribosomal RNA". It matches the Rfam family "Bacterial small subunit ribosomal RNA", at positions 524 to 729 of the family's 1533-position model. The record is from RNAcentral.
GACAGAGGAUGCAAGCGUUUAUCCGGAAUGAUUGGGCGUAAAGCGUCUGUAGGUGGCUUUUUUAAGUCCGCCGUCAAAUCCCAGGGCUCAACCCCUGGACAGGCGGUGGAAACUACCAAGCUGGAGUACGGUAGGGGCAGAGGGAAUUUCCGGUGGAGCGGUGAAAUGCGUAGAGAUCGGAAAAGAACACCAACGGCGAAAGCAUCUGC